RNAcentral lists this ribosomal RNA (918 nucleotides) under uncultured bacterium. RNAcentral's name for it is "bacterial SSU rRNA". It matches the Rfam family "Bacterial small subunit ribosomal RNA", at positions 29 to 946 of the family's 1533-position model. The record is from RNAcentral.
ACGAACGCUGGCGGCGUGCUUAAUACAUGCAAGUCAACUGAGCUUAAGGUAGCAAUAUCUUAAGUGCGGUGGCGCACGGGUGAGUAACACGUAGGUAAUCUGCCUUUAGGUCUGACAUAAUCCCGCGAAAGCGGGACUAAAAUCAGAUGAUGCAGCGGCUCGACAUCGAGACAGUUGUUAAACCUUCGGGGCCUAAAGAUGAGCCUGCGUCUGAUUAGGUAGUUGGCGGAGUAAAAGCCCACCAAGCCUGCGAUCAGUAGCUGGUCUGAGAGGAUGAUCAGCCACACUGGAACUGAGACACGGUCCAGACUCCUACGGGAGGCAGCAGUAAGGAAUAUUGCUCAAUGGCCGAAAGGCUGAAGCAGCAACGCCGCGUGGAGGAUGAAAUACUUUUGUAUGUAAACUCCUGUAAGAGGGGAAAAAUAUACAGUUUAUACUGUGUUGAUUGUACCCUCAGAGUAAGCACCGGCUAACUACGUGCCAGCAGCCGCGGUAAUACGUAGGGUGCUAGAGUUGUCCGGAUUUACUGGGUGUAAAGGGUGCUCAGGUGGGUUUGUAAGUCAGAGGUGAAAUCCCAAAGCUUAACUUUGGAGCUGCCUUUGAUACUGCAAGUCUGGAGUUUGAGAGAGGGCAAUGGAAUAUCUGGUGUAGCAGUGAAAUGCGUAGAUAUCAGAUAGAACACCAAUGGCGAAGGCAGUUGCCUGGCUCAAAACUGACGCCAAAGCACGAAAGUGUGGGGAGCAAACAGGAUUAGAUACCCUGGUAGUCCACACCCUAAACGAUGAAUACUAGAUGUUGGUCCUUUUUAGGAUCAGUAUCCAAGCUAACGCAUUAAGUAUUCCACCUGGGAAGUACAAUCGCAAGGUUGAAACUCAAAGGAAUUGACGGGGGCCCGCACAAGCAGUGGAGCAUGUGGUU